This is a long non-coding RNA of Passer domesticus (house sparrow), 2272 nucleotides long. RefSeq lists it as uncharacterized. The transcript is spliced from 5 exons. Lineage: Eukaryota; Metazoa; Chordata; Aves; Passeriformes; Passeridae. The record is from RefSeq and is a predicted model, not a curated record.
AAGCUGAGGAAAUGCAUUGGCUGCUGAGAGAAGUCCUUCUCCCCUCUGGGUGAGGAGCAAGGGAUAGGGGAUGAUGAAGGGCAACAACCCCUUUUCAACAGGAAAAGAUUACAGUCUUGGCUUACUGAAGGAGGUCAACCACAGCCCAAAGGUCUUUUAGAGGCUGGCUUUGGGAAGAGAUGAAGUCCUGAUUAGUCAUGGCCAGUGGCAACACCCACAAGCACUUUACAUCCUGUCCUGAAAAUGGCUUUAUCCACUUUGUAUUCCCUCCACACCACCAGGCUGCAGACCAAAGAAAAUUGCAAGAGCCUGUGCUGGAAAUUCCCUUAAUUUGGUGUUGUCCUAACACAUGAGGACUGCUGCAACACACAGAGAAUCUGUUCUUGGUAUGGUACCUGGUCUUUUAUAGUUCUGAAAUGCAUGGCUGGGAAUCACCAGUAUGAGCCCUCGUGUGAAGGAGUCCCUGCUCAAAAGACUGUCCCUUUCUUACUGGCCCACUUCAAGUACUGAGAAGCCAUAAAAAAGUCUCCCUGGAGCUUUCUCUUCUCCAGUCUGAACAACCCCAACUCUCAGCUUGUCUCCAGACCUCUGAGCAUCUUUGUGGCCUCCUUUGAACUCCCUCCAACAGGUCCACAUCUUUCCCGUGCUGAGGACCUCACAUCUGGACACAGUACUCCAGGCAAGUAAAUAUAAUUUCACACCUAUCAACCACCUUUGUUUCAAGAAUCACUGGGAGAGACAGGCCUGUUUUCCUGGAAAUGUCCAUGCACUACCGCUUUCUAUCACUUGAAAACCUUAAGUGCAAGAGCUGCCUUGAAAUGAUGCUGUACUGUUUCCUGCAUGCCAUGAGAUAAUUCUCCUCUGCCUGCUACUCUGCCUCUGGGGGGCCACCAUGGUGCUCAGUGACCUGCAGGACCACAGGAAAAGCUGGCUGAGCUAGCUCAGGACAAGGAUUUCCAACACCACCUCAUGCUGGGGGCCGGAUGUCUCCACUUCUGGGGAGUAAAGCAGCUCCCCAUCCUCUGCCUGCAGAACAGGAGUGCAGCUAUGGGAUCUGUGGGGAAAGACUUCCUGCUGAAUGUUUUGACAUGUCCUACACAUGCUGCCUUAUGAAUCCCUUGCAGUCCUCCAAUGGAAGAUGGAAGGAUGGUUUAUUCCCCAUUUGACUGAAAAACAAAUCAGAGAAUGAAGACAUUAAAGGAUACCAGAAAGAAGACUUUUACCCUCCUCUCCUGUUUUGGACCUUAAUUAGUGUCUCUGGGUAUAUCUGUGUGGUGUCUGGAAACAGGGACGAAGUCACUGCCCAUGCAGAGUACUCUGGACACAAGAAGGAUCAGAGCAGAGCUUGGGCUCUACAGCUGGAUCAUGUCCCUGAUAUUUUUCUCUCAUGCUAUGGCACAGCACUGUGCCAUGUGUGUUUUGGGUCAGGGCUGCCCAUAAGCUGAUGGAUCAGAAUGACAGCGUCAUCAAGGUUGGAAAAGACAUAGAAGGCAUUGAGUCUGACCACUAAUCAGACACUGCCAGGUCCACCACUAUCCAUGUCCCUAAGCACCACAUCUGCAUGCUCCUGGAGGCAUUGAUAAUCUGGUGAUAAGGAGGGUGCAUCUGUGGUGGCUUCAGACCUGCAAUUUGUGUUGACAAGAUGGUCUCAUGGGAAUGCACAAAGAUACAUGGGCAGAGCGUGGUCAGCUGAGGAUGUGACUCAGAAGACAGUCCAUAAAUCACCUUUUUGUGUUUAGGGCAUGCAGUCCUGCUCCUGAGCUGCAAACCUUUCACUCUCAUGGGUCAGACCUUGUUGCCCUGUUGGAGGGUGCUGUAGCUGGAAUCAAAUAUCUGGCUGGAAAGGUCUCACAUGCAUGGGGCUUGUUCCUGGGCAAAUGAGCUCUGAGGAGCUAUGAAGUUCUCCUGAGAUCAGCAGGUAGGGGUUCAAAUCUCAUUUUUGGAUUUGCAUUAAAAUCUGUCUCUAUGAAGCACUUAGGUGUCGUGGAAAGUUUGAGGUGAUCAGUGAAAAGUGCUCAAAGUGAAUCAUGUUAAUUUUCAGGAAGCAGCAAUUAAACCCCAGAUAUUCUUUUGCCAGAAGUGAAGGAAACUUCUACUAUUUUUAGGUGGUGGUUGUGUGAGGAAGAGGGGGGACUGGCAGGACUUGCCUUCACCCACUUGUCAUUGCUUUUCAUAACAGGAAUGAGCUGAUCAUAGCCUCAGGCACAUAACACCCUUGUGUACUGGAGAAUCAGGUCUCUGCCUGUGGAGGGGAAACAAAGGUACAGCUGGA